CUGUUAUGAAUCUGCACCUAGAUGAAUUGAACUCAUGUCUGUACCUGUAUGGAGGCCUGAGGCUGGAUCUCUUUAAGGGAACUGUGUUCUUUGGACUUCUGAAUAACCAUGUAAGUUGAAGAUCUGGCCCCUGGCUGUUGUUUUGAGGAGACACACCAAGAAUUAAAUGGGCAUGGAGACUGAACUAUCCUCUGACUCUUCCAAGUCAAGAAUGAGACAUAUCGGUAGGGCAGUGUCGAGAAAGCCUGCACUGCUGCUGCUUGUGAUCUAUCUAAUCUGGAGGUAAGAAGAAAACUCUAAUCUUCCCAGUUGUCACUCUGGAAUCUUCUAUGAGCAUUUGGAACAUUUUUUUUAAAUGUUAAUAUUCAUUUGCUAAAAGUUUAUGGAACCAUUUAAGUCUCUUCAUACAUAAACAUUUAUCAUCUGUAGUUAAUAUUUUACUUUCUCUCUGACCAAAUGGAGGACCAUCUGUGACUAUACAUGAACCUUCUUAGACUUAGAAAAAAAAUACAGUUUUUCUACAGAGACUUCAUGUGAUCUGAGAUGUGUGUAAAACACACUUGCCUUUAUGUUCAUAAAACCCAAUUUAACUUCAGACAGUUCUCUCCUUUUUAAUUUGACUAACUGGAUAAAUGGCCAAGGGGGAAGUUUAACCUCUUACUUUUCCUGCUUUCAUUUUUUUCCAGGUCAUCUCAGGAUUCUGUCUUUAUCAUGGGCACCUGAUAAAGUAAAAAUAAAAGGGCUAUACUUGUUUUUAUUUUGUCACUGAAUGUCUUAGAGAUCCCUAUACAUUUUUUGCUAUACAUUAGUUCCUCAGACCUAUAUUCAGUAUGUUUGCAAGGAGCUUUUCAACUAAGGGAAUAGGAUCUUUACUCGCUUUUUCAGACAUAAAGGCUAUAAUAUGGAUAUUCUGAGAUCUGAUCAAUCUUUUGACAAAUUCUAGUCAUCCCUCAACAGUGAUAAUGUUCUGAUAUGUCUGUACUCUAAUUUCAAAUGAUUCCACUUUAAAUUUCAGUGUAGUUUGUUUGGCUGCCAAGAUUUGUGACCUGACCUGUUUUCUCAUUAAUUUGCAACCACACUAAUCUCCAUUCCCCAUAGUACUGCGAGUUCUCUUUUGUUUAAGUCUUGAAGGAGAUCCUACACAGAUAGCAAGCCUAGAUUUAGGGACAAUCAGGCUUGCCUCUCUAAAAUUCUCAGAUUGUAGUCUGAGAAGUUCUAUGGAGCCAGAAAGAGAAAACCCUAGUUCUUUACAAUAUUAAUGAUGCAUAAAAUGCUCCAAAUUUAAUGAUAAAAAAAGAAAUCAGGAAGUUGGUGAACCUGAGCUGUGCUGUGAUACAUCUGCUCUCUGCACUCAACUCUACCCUAAAACACUAUUUUUAUAUAAACACUUUGUAAAUAACCAUUACUUAUUUAAAAAAAAAUAAUAGAAAACGGGCAGUUUUUAAAAAUAAAUAUUUACCAUGCCACAGUACUGACCUUACCAUGGUAUUUCCUAUACUUAGUACGCAGUGAGGUAUUUAUAUAUUUACAUAAAUUGCCCAUUGCUAAUGUUUAUUGUUAAUGCUCUUCAUUUACAUAUAGGAAGGUAUAAGGAAAUCUCCUUCCAUAAUCAAAUAUUGACAGUACUGACAGUACAGUGAUAAUAGUCCCUUUAAACAAAAAAAUCAAUUUUAAAUUGAUAAUUCUCUGUUCUCUAUCUUUUCAAUCCAUUAAAAUACAGCUGCUGCACGCUACAGACAGAAGUUAAUGCUAUAUAAUUUAAACAAUAUGCCGAAAUGUACUGCUUAUUUUGAAAGAAAACUUAAAUGCAAUACAUUUUUUUGGUUUACUCUGAGGCAAGUAUAAAAUCUAGUAAUCUUCCAACCUGAUGACAUUAGAUUUAAGUUGCACCUCAGACAUGACCCUGAAAGAAAUCUUAUUACCGCUUCUAUUCAAAGUCUAAAAGACUUUAAUAUGCCUCCCUCUUCCCCCCCAAAUAGGGCCUAAUAUGGAUUGCUUUUGUGAACUGUGGUCUAAAACAGCUAUUAAAAGUGAAGCUGCACAAAGAGCAGCAUAUUUGGGACCAUUCCAGGCCCACCUACAGGGUAAUGCUAUUCUACUUGCAACAGCUGUUUACACUUACCUGACGUGCAGCAGGUGCAGGACAAAAGACUCAAACAACUCUGCACCUGCUGCCUCAAACUCUACUCAGGUAAAUCAGUAGAAAUGACCUUUUUGUGUCUGUCACCACAACAGAUGUUCAAUGGAAGACCAAGAUGGUCACACCCAUCUGCCUUUGGCUCGGUCUUUGCCCCACUUAGUCAAUCUGAUUAGACAAAUUGAACCGACUGACAUAAAGGCAACAGGUAGGAUGCAAGCCCUGUAAGAGAUGCAGUAGAAUGUUAUGAAAAUCAGAUGAAGUUCAUCAGUCAAAAGUUUGCUGAUUCUUGGCACCAGAAUUCUGAUGAUGUGCAAGUCUCCUCUUAACCUGAAGACUUCUGUAACUACAUAAUUGCCAGAACUUGCACACACUUUUCAUUUGUAACUGAUAUACAAACAUUAGUCAGCCUGUCUAAUCCAGGGGUUCUGCAACUUCAUUGCACUGUGACCCCCUUCUGACAAUAAAAAUUACUACAUGACCCCAUGAGGGGGGACCAAAGCCUAACCCCGCCACCCCAGGUGGGGGGCCAAUGCCCAAGGCCCAACCCCACCACCCCGGCAAGGGGGCCAAAACCAAACCGCAAGGGCUUAAUCCCCAUGUGGGGAGCAUGUAAUCUGAGCCUUGCCACCCAGGGCUGAAGCCCUCGGUCUCGGGCAGUGGAGCUCAGGCUUCGUCCCCAAGGCUCAAUGCCAGCCCUGGCAACCCACUUUGGGGUCCUGACCCACAGUUUGAGAACUGGUGGAUCCCUUCAGUGGCUGUCCAUGAAACAAAAUGUAGAACAGAAUGAGGAAAGUAAAUUGCUGGAGAGUAAGUUUCUUCAGUCAUAAUCUGGGACAGGAAAAAGAUGAAGGAACAUUUCCAUGUCCAAAAGGGCACAACAAUGGAAGCAUAUCUGUCAGCUCUUCAAGGAAAAAUACAAAUUAGGGCGAUCUGUAGUAUUCAAAAGGGACUGGGAAGAGGUGUUGCCAAGAACAUUUGGGAUUUUUUGUUUUGGCUAGAACACCCAAGCUACUAUUAAUUAAUAUUUGAAAUUUUGUGUAAAGUAAAAUGUUCCUUUGUUUUUCCUAUUCCUUUCCAUUUUCUCUUUCCAUUUUGCCUUUGACAGCCUGAUUCAUCUCUUCUUCCAUCGUUUACUACAAUUUUUAAACCAUAUUGAUAUUAUAAAAUUUUUUGUUCAUUUUGCCCCCACCUCCCACGAACUCUUUCUCCAAGACAUUUCGCUUUUCUGAUCUGGACUUUCACUAUCUAUUUUUGUUCAGUAUUAGUAGUGGCAGUAUUUGUUUAUUUUAGAACCAUCCAAGGUUCUUGCUCUUAUGAGCUCACAAUCUGAUUUUAUUCUUUCCUUUCCUCUAGUUCACACUCAAAGAGGUAGGGGGGAAAAAAAGGAGGAAGAGAGUGAGUGAAUCAUUAAGUCUAAAGAUUGUGGUGAGGGGAUACAGGGGAGGGAGCAACCAGGCUUGGGGCACAGAUUAGGGCCUGAGGCACAGCUACCAAAAUUGUGUGCAGUUCCAUUGGUGAAGUUUUAUACAAACCAUUUAAUAACCUAUUUUUUGGUUUGACAACUUAUUAGCAUAUAACUGUGAAUGCUGUCUUUUUUUUUUUUUUUUUUUUUUUUUUUUAAAGGGUGCAUUUAGUACUUGUGGAAUCCUGGUUAAUGAAGUCUUCUGUUUAUCCACAGGACAGUAUCAAGGUGAAUUUCCCAUACCCAGGGACUGAACCUGGAAUCUCUAGAUAUAAAACCUGGCAUCUCCACCAUUUGAGCUCAAGGACCCUUUGCAUUAGUAUGGAGAAGACUCAAACCUCUAUGUCAGUAGUUCUCAAACUGUGGUCCACUGGGCUCCAUUCAGGUGGUUUGCGGAUAGUUCCCGCUAAGGUGCAUGCCUGGGAAGCUGCACACGAGAGAGCGAAUGAAAGGCCAUCCACAUAUUUAGUAAAGCCACGCAUGUGUGUCUCCACUAAUUAGGUGCCUGGACCCUGGAGAAGACGCACAUGUAAGG
Trachemys scripta elegans is the source of this 4137-nucleotide long non-coding RNA. RefSeq lists it as uncharacterized. Lineage: Eukaryota; Metazoa; Chordata; Testudines; Emydidae. The transcript has 3 exons. The record is from RefSeq and is a predicted model, not a curated record.